GCAGGGGUCGUUCAGUUGGUAGGACGGGGGUCUCCAAAACCCAAGACAGGGGUUCGAUUCCCCUCCCCUGUGCCA
RNAcentral lists this transfer RNA (75 nucleotides) under Candidatus Blackburnbacteria bacterium. RNAcentral describes it as "tRNA-Trp". It matches the Rfam family "tRNA". Rfam says of the family: Transfer RNA (tRNA) molecules are approximately 80 nucleotides in length. Lineage: Bacteria; Candidatus Blackburniibacteriota. The record is from RNAcentral.